Molecule: ribosomal RNA, 106 nt
Filed under: Orobdella dolichopharynx
Lineage: Eukaryota; Metazoa; Annelida; Clitellata; Hirudinida; Orobdellidae
Description: partial 16S ribosomal RNA
Source: RNAcentral
UAUUUAUAAUUAAUUAUAUAAUUUAAAGUUACAAAUAUAAGAAAUAGAAUAAUAUAAUAUUAUUAAGUAUAGUAAUAGAAGCUAUAAUAAUAAAAAGUAAAUAUAU